This 75-nucleotide transfer RNA is filed under the name Ruminococcaceae bacterium YRB3002. Its description in RNAcentral is "tRNA_Arg_CCG". It matches the Rfam family "tRNA". From Rfam's summary of the family: Transfer RNA (tRNA) molecules are approximately 80 nucleotides in length. Lineage: Bacteria; Bacillati; Bacillota; Clostridia; Eubacteriales; Oscillospiraceae. The record is from RNAcentral.
GCCUCCAUAGUUUAAUGGAUAGAACGACAGUUUCCGGUACUGUAGAUACGGGUUCGAUUCCUGUUGGGGGUGCCA